ACCAAAAAUGGACUGAGUUAAGCAGAAAGGAACCAACCCACAUUUUGGAAAAAAUUGAGUUAUGAGUGGUUUUGAACUCAACCACUGCUCUACUAUCUAUCGCCAAAAAUUCAAAAUUUUUGUUGGAGCAAAUUUUGCAGAAAUGGAACUUGAAGUUUAUCUUUUACAUUGAGUCUUAUGCAGGAGCUAAACUUUAAACCUCUUUUUCUCGGUUCGAGCCCGAUGUGGCUUGGUUCCUUUCUGUUUAACUCCGUCCAAAUAAUAGUAUGGGUUUAGAAGCCGGGAGACUUCAAAACGUGCUUUAUGUUACGAGAUGAUAACAGCGAUCAAAAUCUGAUGGGCGUUCGGCUCGAGAAUUUUCAGACGUGACUGAAAUGUUGAGCGCUGGCGGUGUUGUCAAUGAGCGAGUCAUCUCCGGGAUUGUCCUUGAAAAUGAGCGGGUAAAUUGAGAAUUCUCUGAGAAAAUUGCCAGAACUGUGUAGGAUUGAGACGUAAGUUCAUGCUCCCCUGCAUGUCAGAUCUCUGACAAAUUCUACUUUUUUUAUAAGAACUUAUGUUAUUUUCAGAAAUCUUUUAGCAUUGACGACAACACUGAAAAUUCGGUCAGUGACGUGUCACGUCGAAAGGUCGAUACUCGGGCGAUUCUGACAUACCCGAUAAAAAACCGCACCUGAUGGAAAAUUUGAGUGGGUCAGUUAUUGAAUUGACAAUAAACGGAAUUCGGCAGCCACAUAAUUUUUUUAUUUACUUCUUUGUAAACAGCGUGUAUGCACGGACAAAAUGAUAUUUCAUCAAUUCACUAAAUCGUUCUAAUGUAUCAUGAGGUUUUUUCAAUUGUUCAUUUGCUAUUAUAAUGACAUGUUGCAGAUUCCUGAAAAAUGCAAACAAAAAAUAUCAAUGUAGAUCUACACGCUGCCAAUAACAAUACCAUCAAUACAAUCAAUAUUGAAUGUGUCCAAAGAAUUAUUGCGGAAUUAGAGUCAAGCUACGGACAAGACCAGUCAUUCCUGCUUCCUAAAACCGACGAAACAGUUGACUUGGAGAGCAGCGGCCCGUACAAGCGUGUGCCUCCGCCGAAGCCGGUGAGCGGAGCUGGAUCGGAGAGCCGCCUCACUGCCAGCGCCACCCCGCCCCUGACGACCACCCCGCCGCCACCCCCGUACAGGAUGCCCCCGCGGCCCCUUCACAACGAGCCGCCCAUCCCCGGGGCCCCGGACCAACCCCACGCAUCCACCCCUAGUCUUCACACUCACUCGAGCAAAUUUCCGAUCGAACGAGAAGUAACUUUGAGCAGUACAGAUAAGAACUCAAAAAUACCAAUUUUAAAUGACUAUUUGAAGAGGCCAAAUUCCUCAAUUGCUCCAGAUGCUCCUCACAUACAGAUGGCAUGGAUUGAAGACAAGCAUAGGAAUUCAAAUUUAAAUCACACUGGAUCUCAACAAACGCAAAACCUCCAAGUGUUUAAGGCUCAACCAAUGAAUUUGAUGGAUUCAAGCCAAAUUUCAGAAUUGUCUCCAAUUCGAGGCCAAGAUCUAUCCCUGCCCACCAACCUUAGGUAAAUAUCAACUUCCAACUGCGUGAUGUGAACAUUUUCAAU
RNAcentral lists this long non-coding RNA (1597 nucleotides) under Bemisia tabaci. RNAcentral describes it as "lncRNA ENSASIAIIG004113". The record is from RNAcentral. Lineage: Eukaryota; Metazoa; Arthropoda; Insecta; Hemiptera; Aleyrodidae.